Molecule: ribosomal RNA, 508 nt
Filed under: uncultured bacterium
Lineage: Bacteria
Description: partial 16S ribosomal RNA
Rfam family: Bacterial small subunit ribosomal RNA
Source: RNAcentral
GAUGAACGCUAGCUACAGGCUUAACACAUGCAAGUCGAGGGGAAACGACAUCGAAAGCUUGCUUUUGAUGGGCGUCGACCGGCGCACGGGUGAGUAACGCGUAUCCAACCUGCCCACCACUUGGGGAUAACCUUGCGAAAGCAAGACUAAUACCCAAUGAUAUCUCUAGAAGACAUCUGAAAGAGAUUAAAGAUUUAUCGGUGGUGGAUGGGGAUGCGUCUGAUUAGCUUGUUGGCGGGGUAACGGCCCAACAAGGCGACGAUCAGUAGGGGUUCUGAGAGGAAGGUCCCCCACAUUGGAACUGAGACACGGUCCAAACUCCUACGGGAGGCAGCAGUGAGGAAUAUUGGUCAAUGGACGAGAGUCUGAACCAGCCAAGUAGCGUGCAGGAUGACGGCCCUAUGGGUUGUAAACUGCUUUUAUAAGGGAAUAAAGUGAGUCUCGUGAGACUUUUUGCAUGUACCUUAUGAAUAAGGACCGGCUAAUUCCGUGCCAGCCGCCGCAGUAA